RNAcentral lists this ribosomal RNA (987 nucleotides) under uncultured bacterium. Its description in RNAcentral is "bacterial SSU rRNA". It matches the Rfam family "Bacterial small subunit ribosomal RNA", at positions 67 to 1062 of the family's 1533-position model. The record is from RNAcentral.
UUAUUUUCAGGAAGCUUUCGGGUGGAAUGAACUUAACUUAGCGGCGGACGGGUGAGUAACGCGUGGACAACCUACCCUGUACAGGGGGAUAACAAUGGGAAACCAUUGCUAAUACCCCAUAACACCUUUUAGGGGCAUCCCUUUAAGGUCAAAGAAUUUCGGUACAGGAUGGGUCCGCGUCUGAUUAGCUAGUUGGUGAGGUAAUGGCUCACCAAGGCGACGAUCAGUAGCCGGCCUGAGAGGGUGAACGGCCACACUGGAACUGAGACACGGUCCAGACUCCUACGGGAGGCAGCAGUGGGGAAUAUUGCACAAUGGGCGAAAGCCUGAUGCAGCAACGCCGCGUGAGCGAUGAAGGCUUUCGGGUCGUAAAGCUCUGUCCUAAGGGAAGAUAAUGACGGUACCUUAGGAGGAAGCCCCGGCUAACUACGUGCCAGCAGCCGCGGUAAUACGUAGGGGGCAAGCGUUAUCCGGAAUCAUUGGGCGUAAAGGGUGCGUAGGCGGCCCUAUAGGUCAGAGGUCAAAGGCUACGGCUCAACCGUAGUAAGCCUUUGAAACUGUAGGGCUUGAGUGCAGGAGAGGAGAGUGGAAUUCCUAGUGUAGCGGUGAAAUGCGUAGAUAUUAGGAGGAACACCAGUGGCGAAGGCGACUCUCUGGACUGCAACUGACGCUGAGGCACGAAAGCGUGGGGAGCGAACAGGAUUAGAUACCCUGGUAGUCCACGCCGUAAACGAUGAGUGCUAGGUGUCGGGGGUCGAACCUCGGUGCCGCAGCUAACGCAUUAAGCACUCCGCCUGGGGAGUACGUUCGCAAGAAUGAAACUCAAAGGAAUUGACGGGGGACCCGCACAAGCAGCGGAGCAUGUGGUUUAAUUCGAAGCAACGCGAAGAACCUUACCUGGACUUGACAUCCCUCGGACCGCUUUUUAACCAAAGCCUUCCCUUCGGGGACUGAGGUGACAGGUGGUGCAUGGUUGUCGUCAGCUCG